RNAcentral lists this long non-coding RNA (442 nucleotides) under Mus spicilegus (steppe mouse). Its description in RNAcentral is "lncRNA (ENSMSIG00000000219.1)". Lineage: Eukaryota; Metazoa; Chordata; Mammalia; Rodentia; Muridae. The record is from RNAcentral.
CAAGGGAGGAAGAGAUUUCCAUUGGGAGAGUCACACUGAAAAUAGAAAGCCUGCCUGCCCCUGAAAUACCGGGACCUAAGCCCCUCCUCCUCUGGCUGCCUUCAAUGAGCUCCUUUCACUGCAAUUAAAGCAACCAAGACAAAGGUUGGAGUGGGAUUUCCUGGAUAUUAAAUCCUAGUCUCAGUACACGAAGAAAUCACAACACCGUGGAGCUGCCGACCCUAAGCCCCGUGUCACUCAUUUCCUUUAUUAGUAGUUUGAAAAUUGCAUAUAGCAUGGUUUGAGUAUAUUCACCUUCUCUCUCCCAACUCUUCCUAGACUCACCCCCUUUUUUUUCCCCAUUCACUUCUGGGUACUUGCUUUUUAUUGUCAUGUGAUGUAGAAUUACAAAUUACUUAUUGGUGGCAAUACAGGAUAUACAACUAGGACAUUAUCUGUAAGA